GGAUGAACGCUGGCGGCGUGCCUAAUACAUGCAAGUCGAGCGAACAGACAAGGAGCUUGCUCCUUUGACGUUAGCGGCGGACGGGUGAGUAACACGUGGGUAACCUACCUAUAAGACUGGGAUAACUUCGGGAAACCGGAGCUAAUACCGGAUAAUAUUUCGAACCGCAUGGUUCGAUAGUGAAAGAUGGUUUUGCUAUCACUUAUAGAUGGACCCGCGCCGUAUUAGCUAGUUGGUAAGGUAACGGCUUACCAAGGCGACGAUACGUAGCCGACCUGAGAGGGUGAUCGGCCACACUGGAACUGAGACACGGUCCAGACUCCUACGGGAGGCAGCAGUAGGGAAUCUUCCGCAAUGGGCGAAAGCCUGACGGAGCAACGCCGCGUGAGUGAUGAAGGUCUUCGGAUCGUAAAACUCUGUUAUUAGGGAAGAACAUACGUGUAAGUAACUAUGCACGUCUUGACGGUACCUAAUCAGAAAGCCACGGCUAACUACGUGCCAGCAGCCGCGGUAAUACGUAGGUGGCAAGCGUUAUCCGGAAUUAUUGGGCGUAAAGCGCGCGUAGGCGGUUUUUUAAGUCUGAUGUGAAAGCCCACGGCUCAACCGUGGAGGGUCAUUGGAAACUGGAAAACUUGAGUGCAGAAGAGGAAAGUGGAAUUCCAUGUGUAGCGGUGAAAUGCGCAGAGAUAUGGAGGAACACCAGUGGCGAAGGCGACUUUCUGGUCUGUAACUGACGCUGAUGUGCGAAAGCGUGGGGAUCAAACAGGAUUAGAUACCCUGGUAGUCCACGCCGUAAACGAUGAGUGCUAAGUGUUAGGGGGUUUCCGCCCCUUAGUGCUGCAGCUAACGCAUUAAGCACUCCGCCUGGGGAGUACGACCGCAAGGUUGAAACUCAAAGGAAUUGACGGGGACCCGCA
RNAcentral lists this ribosomal RNA (917 nucleotides) under Staphylococcus haemolyticus. Its description in RNAcentral is "bacterial SSU rRNA". It matches the Rfam family "Bacterial small subunit ribosomal RNA", at positions 27 to 925 of the family's 1533-position model. The record is from RNAcentral. Lineage: Bacteria; Bacillati; Bacillota; Bacilli; Caryophanales; Staphylococcaceae.